This is a non-coding RNA of Ictalurus furcatus (blue catfish), 73 nucleotides long. Lineage: Eukaryota; Metazoa; Chordata; Actinopteri; Siluriformes; Ictaluridae. The record is from the annotation of a RefSeq genome assembly.
GGCUCCAUAGCUCAGUGGUUAGAGCGCUGGUCUUGUAAACCAGUAGUCACAAGUUCAGUCCUCGCUGGGGCCU